AUUGACUUUUCCUCGCAUGCUUAUUGGUUGAAAGAAUUAUUGGUUUUAGAUGGACUCGCGGCCUAUCAGCUUGUUGGUGACGUAAUGGCUCACCAAGGCGACGACGGGUACCCGGCCUGAGAGGGUGACCGGCCACACUGGGACUGACACACGGCCCAGACUCCUACGGGAGGCAGCAGUGGGGAAUAUUGCACAGUGGGCGAAAGCCUGAUGCAGCGACGCCGCGUGAGGGAUGACGGCCUUCGGGUUGUAAACCUCUUUCAGUAGGGAACAAGGCCAGUGUUUAGCUGGUUGAGGGUACUUGCAGAAGAAGCGCCGGCUAACUACGUGCCAACAGCCGCGGUAAUACGUAGGGCGCAAGCGUUAUCCGGAAUUAUUGGGCGUAAAGAGCUCGUACGCGGUUUGUCGCGUCUGCCGUGAAAGUCCGGGGCUCAACCCCGGAUCUGCGGUGGGUACGGGCAGACUAGAGUGAUGUAGGGGAGACUGGAAUUCCUGGUGUAGCGGUGAAAUGCGCAGAUAUCAGGAGGAACACCGAUGGCGAAGGCAGGUCUCUGGGCAUUAACUGACGCUGAAGAGCGAAAGCAUGGGGAGCGAACAGGAUUAGAUACCCUGGUAGUCCAUGCCGUAAACGUUGGGCACUAGGUGUGGGGGACAUUCCACGUUUUCCGCGCCGUAUCUAACGCAUUAAGUGCCCCGCCUGGAGAGUACGGCCGCAAGGCUAACACUCAAAGGA
Molecule: ribosomal RNA, 733 nt
Filed under: Arthrobacter sp.
Lineage: Bacteria; Bacillati; Actinomycetota; Actinomycetes; Micrococcales; Micrococcaceae
Description: bacterial SSU rRNA
Rfam family: Bacterial small subunit ribosomal RNA
Source: RNAcentral